GACGAACGCUGGCGGCGUGCUUAACACAUGCCAGUCGAACGGAAAGGCCCUGCUUUUGUGGGGUGCUCGAGUGGCGAACGGGUGAGUAACACGUGAGUAACCUGCCCUUGACUUUGGGAUAACUUCAGGAAACUGGGGCUAAUACCGGAUAGGAGCUCCUGCUGCAUGGUGGGGGUUGGAAAGUUUCGGCGGUUGGGGAUGGACUCGCGGCUUAUCAGCUUGUUGGUGGGGUAGUGGCUUACCAAGGCUUUGACGGGUAGCCGGCCUGAGAGGGUGACCGGCCACAUUGGGACUGAGAUACGGCCCAGACUCCUACGGGAGGCAGCAGUGGGGAAUAUUGCACAAUGGGCGGAAGCCUGAUGCAGCAACGCCGCGUGCGGGAUGACGGCCUUCGGGUUGUAAACCGCUUUCGCCUGUGACGAAGCGUGAGUGACGGUAAUGGGGAAAGAAGCACCGGCUAACUACGU
This 467-nucleotide ribosomal RNA is filed under the name uncultured bacterium. RNAcentral's name for it is "partial 16S ribosomal RNA". It matches the Rfam family "Bacterial small subunit ribosomal RNA", at positions 28 to 506 of the family's 1533-position model. The record is from RNAcentral.